RNAcentral lists this ribosomal RNA (468 nucleotides) under uncultured bacterium. RNAcentral describes it as "partial 16S ribosomal RNA". It matches the Rfam family "Bacterial small subunit ribosomal RNA", at positions 28 to 507 of the family's 1533-position model. The record is from RNAcentral.
GACGAACGCUGGCGGCGUGCUUAACACAUGCAAGUCGAACGGAAAGGCCCUGCUUUUGUGGGGUGCUCGAGUGGCGAACGGGUGAGUAACACGUGAGUAACCUGCCCUUGACUUUGGGAUAACUUCAGGAAACUGGGGCUAAUACCGGAUAGGAGCUCCUGCUGCAUGGUGGGGGUUGGAAAGUUUCGGCGGUUGGGGAUGGACUCGCGGCUUAUCAGCUUGUUGGUGGGGUAGUGGCUUACCAAGGCUUUGACGGGUAGCCGGCCUGAGAGGGUGACCGGCCACAUUGGGACUGAGAUACGGCCCAGACUCCUACGGGAGGCAGCAGUGGGGAAUAUUGCACAAUGGGCGGAAGCCUGAUGCAGCAACGCCGCGUGCGGGAUGACGGCCUUCGGGUUGUAAACCACUUUCGCCUGUGACGAGGCGUGAGUGACGGUAAUGGGUAAAGAAGCACCGGCUAACUACGUG